GAUGAACGCUGGCGGCGUGCCUAAUACAUGCAAGUCGAGCGAACAGACGAGGAGCUUGCUCCUUUGACGUUAGCGGCGGACGGGUGAGUAACACGUGGAUAACCUACCUAUAAGACUGGGAUAACUUCGGGAAACCGGAGCUAAUACCGGAUAACAUGUUGAACCGCAUGGUUCAACAGUGAAAGACGGUCUUGCUGUCACUUAUAGAUGGAUCCGCGCCGCAUUAGCUAGUUGGUAAGGUAACGGCUUACCAAGGCAACGAUGCGUAGCCGACCUGAGAGGGUGAGCGGCCACACUGGAACUGAGACACGGUCCAGACUCCUACGGGAGGCAGCAGUAGGGAAUCUUCCGCAAAGGGCGAAAGCCUGACGGAGCAACGCCGCGUGAGUGAAGAAGGUCUUCGGAUCGUAAAACUCUGUUAUUAGGGAAGAACAAAUGUGUAAGUAACUAUGCACGUCUUGACGGUACCUAAUCAGAAAGCCACGGCUAACUACGUG
This 497-nucleotide ribosomal RNA is filed under the name uncultured bacterium. RNAcentral's name for it is "partial 16S ribosomal RNA". It matches the Rfam family "Bacterial small subunit ribosomal RNA", at positions 28 to 507 of the family's 1533-position model. The record is from RNAcentral.